RNAcentral lists this ribosomal RNA (492 nucleotides) under uncultured bacterium. RNAcentral describes it as "partial 16S ribosomal RNA". It matches the Rfam family "Bacterial small subunit ribosomal RNA", at positions 29 to 507 of the family's 1533-position model. The record is from RNAcentral.
AGUGAACGCUGGCGGUAGGCCUAACACAUGCGAGUCGAACGGCAGCACAGUAAGAGCUUGCUCUUACGGGUGGCGAGUGGCGGACGGGUGAGGAAUACAUCGGAAUCUACUUUUUCGUGGGGGAUAACGUAGGGAAACUUACGCUAAUACCGCAUACGACCUACGGGUGAAAGCAGGGGAUCUUCGGACCUUGCGCGAUUGAAUGAGCCGAUGUCGGAUUAGCUAGUUGGCGGGGUAAAGGCCCACCAAGGCGACGAUCCGUAGCUGGUCUGAGAGGAUAAUCAGCCACACUGGAACUGGGACACGGUCCAGACUCCUACGGGAGGCAGCAGUGGGGAAUAUUGGACAAUGGGCGCAAGCCUGAUCCAGCCAUACCGCGUGGGUGAAGAAGGCCUUCGGGUUGUAAAGCCCUUUUGUUGGGAAAGAAAAGCAGCAGGUUAAUACCCCGCUGUUCUGACGGUACCCAAAGAAUAAGCACCGGCUAACUUCGUG